Molecule: ribosomal RNA, 468 nt
Filed under: uncultured bacterium
Lineage: Bacteria
Description: partial 16S ribosomal RNA
Rfam family: Bacterial small subunit ribosomal RNA
Source: RNAcentral
GACGAACGCUGGCGGCGUGCUUAACACAUGCAAGUCGAACGGAAAGACCCUGCUUUUGUGGGGUGCUCGAGUGGCGAACGGGUGAGUAACACGUGAGUAACCUGCCCUUGACUUUGGGAUAACUUCAGGAAACUGGGGCUAAUACCGGAUAGGAGCUCCUGCUGCAUGGUGGGGGUUGGAAAGUUUCGGCGGUUGGGGAUGGACUCGCGGCUUAUCAGCUUGUUGGUGGGGUAGUGGCUUACCAAGGCUUUGACGGGUAGCCGGCCUGAGAGGGUGACCGGCCACAUUGGGACUGAGAUACGGCCCAGACUCCUACGGGAGGCAGCAGUGGGGAAUAUUGCACAAUGGGCGGAAGCCUGAUGCAGCAACGCCGCGUGCGGGAUGACGGCCUUCGGGUUGUAAACCGCUUUCGCCUGUGACGAAGCGUGAGUGACGGUAAUGGGUAAAGAAGCACCAGCUAACUACGUG